GCCGGGAUAGUCUAGUGGUUAUGACGUCUGCCUUACACGCAGAAGGUCGCGGGUUCAAUCCCCGCUCCUGGUA
RNAcentral lists this transfer RNA (73 nucleotides) under Perkinsus marinus ATCC 50983. It matches the Rfam family "tRNA". Rfam says of the family: Transfer RNA (tRNA) molecules are approximately 80 nucleotides in length. The record is from Rfam by way of RNAcentral. Lineage: Eukaryota; Perkinsozoa; Perkinsida; Perkinsidae.